RNAcentral lists this ribosomal RNA (252 nucleotides) under uncultured bacterium. RNAcentral's name for it is "partial 16S ribosomal RNA". It matches the Rfam family "Bacterial small subunit ribosomal RNA", at positions 524 to 776 of the family's 1533-position model. The record is from RNAcentral.
UACAGAGGUCUUAAGCGUUGUUCGGAUUCAUUGGGCGUAAAGGGUGCGUAGGUGGCGAGGUAAGUCGGAUGUGAAAUCCCGGGGCUCAACCCUGGAACUGCAUUCGAUACUGCCCUGCUAGAGUACUGGAGAGGAGAUUGGAGUUUACGGUGUAGCAGUGAAAUGCGUAGAUAUCGUAAGGAAGACCAGUGGCGAAGGCGGAUCUCUGGACAGUUACUGACACUGAGGCACGAAGGCCAGGGAGCAAACGGG